GUCCAAUGGGGUUAACCUCUCCAAGGGGCUAGCUGUGCCCUUUUAAGGAACAUAGCAACAUGGAUGCCUAGUUAU
This 75-nucleotide small nucleolar RNA is filed under the name Meriones unguiculatus (Mongolian gerbil). RNAcentral describes it as "Small nucleolar RNA SNORA67 (ENSMUGG00000010414.1)". The record is from RNAcentral. Lineage: Eukaryota; Metazoa; Chordata; Mammalia; Rodentia; Muridae.